CGCGGCCUAUCAGCUUGUUGGUGGGGUGAUGGCCUACCAAGGCGACGACGGGUAGCCGGCCUGAGAGGGCGACCGGCCACACUGGGACUGAGACACGGCCCAGACUCCUACGGGAGGCAGCAGUGGGGAAUCUUGCGCAAUGGGCGAAAGCCCGACGCAGCGACGCCGCGUGAGGGAUGACGGCCUUCGGGUUGUAAACCUCUUUCAGCCCUGACGAAGCGAAAGUGACGGUAGGGGCAGAAGAAGCACCGGCCAACUACGUGCCAGCAGCCGCGGUAAUACGUAGGGUGCAAGCGUUGUCCGGAAUUAUUGGGCGUAAAGAGCUCGUAGGUGGCCUGUCGCGUCGGCUGUGAAAACUCGGGGCUCAACUCCGAGCUUGCAGUCGAUACGGGCAGGCUAGAGUGCGGCAGGGGAGACUGGAAUUCCUGGUGUAGCGGUGAAAUGCGCAGAUAUCAGGAGGAACACCGGUGGCGAAGGCGGGUCUCUGGGCCGAUACUGACACUGAGGAGCGAAAGCGUGGGGAGCGAACAGGAUUAGAUACCCUGGUAGUCCACGCCGUAAACGUUGGGCGCUAGGUGUGGGAUCCCUUCCACGGGUUCCGUGCCGCAGCUAACGCAUUAAGCGCCCCGCCUGGGGAGUACGG
RNAcentral lists this ribosomal RNA (643 nucleotides) under uncultured bacterium. RNAcentral describes it as "bacterial SSU rRNA". It matches the Rfam family "Bacterial small subunit ribosomal RNA", at positions 232 to 885 of the family's 1533-position model. The record is from RNAcentral.